This 253-nucleotide ribosomal RNA is filed under the name uncultured bacterium. RNAcentral describes it as "partial 16S ribosomal RNA". It matches the Rfam family "Bacterial small subunit ribosomal RNA", at positions 524 to 776 of the family's 1533-position model. The record is from RNAcentral.
UACGAAGGGGGCUAGCGUUGCUCGGAAUUACUGGGCGUAAAGGGCUCGUAGGCGGCCAAUUAAGUCAGACGUGAAAUCCCUCGGCUUAACCGGGGAACUGCAUCUGAUACUGGAUGGCUUGAGUUCGGGAGAGGGAUGCGGAAUUCCAGGUGUAGCGGUGAAAUGCGUAGAUAUCAGGAGGAACACCGGUGGCGAAGGCGGCUUGCUGGGCCAGUUCUGACGCUGAGGAGCGAAAGCGUGGGGAGCGAACAGG